CUUUGUCCCUUUGUCUAAUUCCUACUUUUUUAUCUGUAUAAAUAAGAUAGUUUGUGCCUUGCAUGGUGCUCACGUUAUCUGGGUGCUAUUGGCGGAGCACUGCGCUAAUAAAACAGAGUGGUCUGACAAACUGAGUCCUGAGUCUAACUCAUGCAUUCACGCACACACACAGACACAAACAUACUCCGUCUUGCUGUUGUUACCAACUAGUUGCUACCCUUAACUGCACUGGCCAGGUGAGUUAGACAGGGGAGGGGUGGAGCCGGGCUUCUGCCGAUCCAGAUCGAUGCUCCGAUGGUGACAAGACCAGACCCGGGGUCCUUCUGCAAGACACCUCGCAUUUAUAGCAGCUUCCCUCUUAUGCAAAUCUAGACCAGAUUCAAAAUCUGGGUCUGUGUCCGUUGGUCUUUGUGCUGCUUUUCUCUGGGUGUUGUCCCAAUGCUGCUCAAAGAGGGUGUUUUCUAAAGAAGGUGCUUGCUUCUAAUCCCUGAGGCCGUCAAUAUGUCUGCUCUUCUUUAUUGGGCCUACUUGACAAGUUGUAUUGUCCUUUGCUCUGGCUCCCAUUCCCUCUUCAACUGUUGUAGCUGUCUGGAGGUGGGUGUCUUCCAAGCCUCACUCAUUCACACCUCAUUCAGUCAAUAGGGCAAUUGAUUACAGAGUGGGGGGAAGAUCUUAUUCUACUUUUAGCAAAAAGGCAUAUGUUUUCUUUUACUUUAACUAUACUAUCCUUAGGGGCUAUAACAUUUGAUACAAAGUUUUCUACCAAUUUUCUGUAUAGGGAUCUAAUACAAAGCUGUAUGAAAAUAAAGAGGCACAAUGCCAAGUCAUAUGAAAUACAAAAUAACAUCAUGCCAGAUGCAAUGUCAUAAAGAUACUUAAUACAGAAAGAUACUUAAUACAAAAUAACACAAUGCAACGUUAUAGAGAUUUAAAGAGAGAGUUAAUACAGAGAUUUCUCUACAUAAGCAUAAUCUAGCUAGGAAGCUUUAUAGACUAAAAAGGAAACUCUGUAAAGAUAGAUACAGACUUGUGGUUACUAUGCUCUGCAACCAAAUACCUCUCUAAGCUGACUCGAGCAUUUUUGAGUCUAGCAAAUUGACCACAAUUAGUCGCAUAGAGUAGAGAUGAGCCGAGCACAGAUGCACAGUUCAGAAGUUCAAAACAACUGCAAAUACCACACUGAAACAUUUGGCCACCUUUAUUGGUUGACCUGUUUUAAAACACGGCCAGCAAAUACCGUAUAAAAAGAGUUUAAAGGUGCAAGUGUGUGUGUGUGUGUGUGUGUGUGUGUGUGUUGACCUAAAAGAGAUCACUCUUUGUCAGGCUCCACGUACACCCCCUGAACCAAAGGGACUUGUGCGUCACUGACUAUCUGUGCCUUGCCAGUGCAGGAAACAGUCGACUGAAAAGACGGUAAUGUAUCUUU
Long non-coding RNA from Gopherus evgoodei (Goodes thornscrub tortoise), 1426 nucleotides. RefSeq lists it as uncharacterized. The record is from RefSeq and is a predicted model, not a curated record. The transcript has 3 exons. Lineage: Eukaryota; Metazoa; Chordata; Testudines; Testudinidae.